UUGCAAGCAUCUCUUCCAUCCCCCAUGUCUGAAACCAUGGCUGGAAAUGAGUUUCAUGCAAGGUGCAAGCUCGAUGCAAGAUAUUGAUUUAGCAACAGAUUUAACGUGCUCUCCGAGAUGAUGGGCCAUUGUAAUUAAAUAGUGCAUAUGAUGUGGUGGUACACUGGGUUUUGCAUUGUAUAGUAGGAUUAAGUGAUAAAGGAGAGGAAAUAUUAAGUCAAAAGCACAAACCCAAUCAAGUGGAUAUGAUGUGGUAGUACACUGGGUUUGGCAGAUUUGGCGGUACACUGGGUUGAUCUGAAUAUUACAUCGUGGCCUAUUGACAUGAUUGAUUCUAUCCCAAAGCAGUAUGAUGGAUAGGUCUGCAUGUGGUGUUUUUACAUUGGUGUACAUGGCCUAUUGGGAUGGAACAGGUUUGGGACAUCCAUUCUGACAAGUAUGUAAUUAAUUCUUUUAGUAACAAGCACCAUAAUACAUGAUAGCUGGGGUAGGCUGGUGCAAGCUGGUGGCAGGCAAUUGUCGCCCUCAUCAGUUCCCUUUGCUGAGAUGUCUGCGGCCUGGUUGGGAACGAGGACAGCAUUGCUGGACCUAAAUGUCACUCACCUUCAAGUGGAGGGGGAUUCAUGUACAGUGAUUAAAUGGUUGGCCAAUAAUUCAUCCGGCACAUUUUCUUCUCACCCUAUGAUGUCGGAUCUGAGGGAAUGGAGGAAUAGGCUGCAGGCAGUUAUUGUUUCUCAUGUU
Molecule: non-coding RNA, 741 nt
Organism: Elaeis guineensis (African oil palm)
Lineage: Eukaryota; Viridiplantae; Streptophyta; Magnoliopsida; Arecales; Arecaceae
Source: RefSeq, a predicted model, not a curated record